GCCUUGGUGGCGUAGUGGUAGCGCGUUGCACUUGUAUGUCUCCAACAAAUGCAAAGAUUCCUCGGUUCAAUUCCGAGUCAAGGCA
Transfer RNA from Oidiodendron maius Zn, 85 nucleotides. It matches the Rfam family "tRNA". Rfam says of the family: Transfer RNA (tRNA) molecules are approximately 80 nucleotides in length. Their secondary structure includes four short double-helical elements and three loops (D, anti-codon, and T loops). Further hydrogen bonds mediate the characteristic L-shaped molecular structure. tRNAs have two regions of fundamental functional importance: the anti-codon, which is responsible for specific mRNA codon recognition, and the 3' end, to which the tRNAs corresponding amino acid is attached (by aminoacyl-tRNA synthetases). tRNAs cope with the degeneracy of the genetic code in two manners: having more than one tRNA (with a specific anti-codon) for a particular amino acid; and 'wobble' base-pairing, i.e. permitting non-standard base-pairing at the 3rd anti-codon position. The record is from Rfam. Lineage: Eukaryota; Fungi; Ascomycota; Leotiomycetes; Myxotrichaceae.